RNAcentral lists this signal recognition particle RNA (299 nucleotides) under Microcebus murinus (gray mouse lemur). RNAcentral describes it as "Metazoan signal recognition particle RNA (ENSMICG00000044885.1)". It matches the Rfam family "Metazoan signal recognition particle RNA". Rfam says of the family: The signal recognition particle (SRP) is a universally conserved ribonucleoprotein. Lineage: Eukaryota; Metazoa; Chordata; Mammalia; Primates; Cheirogaleidae. The record is from RNAcentral.
GCCGGACGCGGUGGCGCGCGCCUGUAGUCCCAGCUACUCGGGAGGCUGAGAUGGGAGGAUCGCUUGAGCCCAGGAGUUCUGGGUUGCAGUGCGCUAUGCCGAUCGGGUGUCCGCACUAAGUUCGGCAUCAAUAUGGUGACCUCCCGGGAGCGGGGGACCACCAGGUUGCCUAAGGAGGGGUGAACCGGCCCAGGUCGGAAACGGAGCAGGUCAAAACUCCCGUGCUGAUCAGUAGUGGGAUCACGCCUGUGAAUAGCCACUGCACUCCAGCCUGGGCAACAUAGCGAGACCCCGUCUCU